RNAcentral lists this ribosomal RNA (548 nucleotides) under uncultured bacterium. RNAcentral's name for it is "bacterial SSU rRNA". It matches the Rfam family "Bacterial small subunit ribosomal RNA", at positions 274 to 819 of the family's 1533-position model. The record is from RNAcentral.
CGACGAUGCGUAGGGGUUCUGAGAGGAAGGUCCCCCACAUUGGAACUGAGACACGGUCCAAACUCCUACGGGAGGCAGCAGUGAGGAAUAUUGGUCAAUGGCCGGAAGGCUGAACCAGCCAAGUCGCGUGAGGGAAUAAGGCCCUACGGGUCGUAAACCUCUUUUGUCAGGGAGCAAGGCCGCCCACGUGUGGACGGAAGGAGAGUACCUGGAGAAAAAGCAUCGGCUAACUCCGUGCCAGCAGCCGCGGUAAUACGGAGGAUGCGAGCGUUAUCCGGAUUUAUUGGGUUUAAAGGGUGCGUAGGCGGCCUGCCAAGCCAGCGGUAAAAUUGCGGGGCUCAACCCCGUACAGCCGUUGAAACUGCCGGGCUCGAGUGGGCGAGAAGUAUGCGGAAUGCGUGGUGUAGCGGUGAAAUGCAUAGAUAUCACGCAGAACCCCGAUUGCGAAGGCAGCAUACCGGCGCCCUACUGACGCUGAGGCACGAAAGUGCGGGGAUCAAACAGGAUUAGAUACCCUGGUAGUCCGCACAGUAAACGAUGAAUGCUAG